Molecule: long non-coding RNA, 7936 nt
Filed under: Olea europaea subsp. europaea
Lineage: Eukaryota; Viridiplantae; Streptophyta; Magnoliopsida; Lamiales; Oleaceae
Source: RNAcentral
GUUUAUCAGGGCCAAAAUGAUUUCUCUUAACAUUUGAGAUUUUUCAUUCCUCGUGCUUCUUCCAACACAAACCCUUGCAUGUAUUCUCCUAUGAUGUUUUUCAAAUCUUCAAUCUUCCAAAGCUAUCUGCAGGCUAUCAUCUCCAAAUGAAUAUCCCCUCUUCGAGAUAAGCCGAACACAGUCACUUAGAAGGCCUCAAUUAUUCUAUGGUUGGGCCCGUGUAGGAACAGGCGCUCCUUUUCCUCGCUUCACGAACUACCAAGGGGAUUUGGCUCUAAAGCUUGAAGCAUGUCAAGGAAUACUAUUAUAUGUACAGCCUUCUCACACCGCGGAGCUCUUUUCUUACUUGGUUGAGCUUCAGACUUCCCCAGAAACACUCUUGUGUAAAUACCUCAUCGAGUAAGUUAUUGUUACUCGAAAUAGAAAAUAUUCUCUGAUAUUGGUAGUUCUGUAAAUUCUUUAUUUUUCGUCUUUAUUUUAUCUUUUGCAAUUUUUUUUGGUUAAUAAUGUAUUAAACUUAUCUCUUAAUUUACUCAGGCAAAUUAAGAAAUUACUUAAAUUGGGUUAUGUUACUUUUCAAAUUUUUUUGAUGAAUAAAAGAGUUGUCUUUAGACAAACUCUACAGCUGAACUUCAUGUGAAAUUAAAGGAACGCCUUCUGCUUUUUGUGAACAUGAUCUUGUAGUUGUUGAAUGAACAAAAAGAUUGAACCUUGAUAACUAAUUUUCUACUAAAUGCAACUUGUUGGUAAUAACACGAGGGAAUAUGAACAGUCGGUGAUAACAUUAUGUAGCUAGGUUGGCUGCCAUUAAAAAUUAAAGUUCUUUUUAAAGUAGAAAUUACUUUAUCUUGAAAAAGAAAAUUAAUUAGAAAAAUAUUGGAUUCUCUGAAUACAUGUUUGAUUGACCUUUUACUAUUUUUAAGGUUUUAGUGAAAGAGAAUAUGACUCAAACUAUACGUAUUAAAAAAACCAAACUAUAUGUGAGUUCAUAGAUACUAUUUUUAGGUUUUAGCGAAAGAGAAUAUGACUCAAACUACAUGUGCAAAUGCAAAUUACAUAGUGAAGCACGAGCACUGUUUGAUUGUAUUCCCUAACUCAAAAUGUGGGCGUCUACAAUGGAUUAUGAUAAAGUUAUUUUCCAUUAACAAAGAUGUUGGUAUUCUAAACUUCAGCCUUUCAAUUUUUUUUUCACUAUUUGUUCAGCCAAUUGAAGUUAAACCUAAAUGAUAGUACAUUGUGAAUUAAACUAAAUUGUUUUUUUUGUGGAGUUUUUUUCUGGAAACUAACACUUUAUAAUCUCUUUAAUUCUACUAAUAAUUGGAUUGUUUAAUGAUUUCCAAUUGAGUCACUUUCUAAAUGUUGCAUACUAAGUUCUAAGACUGGUAAAACAUCAAUUUUCUGAUCUUUGUUAUCUUCAGUGAUGUUUCGCCUUCUUAAGGAAAUUGCCCGAUAUCUGUAUAGUUUUGUCGAACUUGGUCUUAACAUUGUAUGAUUUUCUUGUCCUCUCUUCAGAGAUUUGGAUGCCUCCCUGCCUAUGAUAAAGUCGGAUAGAUUGGUGACCCUAAAAAUCAUGUUGGUUACCCAAUUUACCAUCAUCUUCAAUUGGCAUAUGUCAGUUUUCUUAAAAAAUGAAUACUCUUUGUAGACAAGACAUUAUGUGACCAUAUAAAUAUAUUGUUGGAAAUUAUUUCUUUUCUUUGCACAAGACACAUUAUUUGCACCUUGUAAAGAUUUUAUUUUCAGAUUGUAGGGUGGCUAUGGUAUUUGGGACAAAUCAAUCCGUAAUCGGAUUACAUUAGCCCCUGCCACAGUGAAUUAUUAUGUAAAUUUCAACCUAUCAUGUCCUUCUUGAUCAUAUCAAAGAAUGUUUGGAGAUCUCAGCAAGGAAUUUUUUUUUUUCCUUCGGUUCGUAUAUCUUUGAAUUCUUUUACCUUUUAACAUAUUGAUCAUUUUUUAUUCCUAUUGUAGGUAGAAUUGGGGUAUGCAGCAUACUAUAAAUCUUGAUUAUUAUUUGAUUUAUUGACUAUCAAAUUUUACUUUUGGACUGCUUUUUUAAUAGUGAUGCAUGAUCAACACGUGUUUUUUCUGUUAAAGAUACGGUGGUUGUCACAAGUUGAUUUUAUAUUGUUCAUUUUGGAUGCAUUUGACAUUCUAGAAUUUGAUUACUUGGAAAUGAAGAUUUGUAUAACUGAGUUGAUUUUGGGGUGGUGACAGAGGAUAGAGAAGGAAGCAGAUGGACCCAGGGAAAAUUUAGCUCUUAUCGAAAACAAUCCAAAUUCCUUGCCAUUGAAGUUCAAAUUUGAGGAUGAGGAGCUUUUUUUCUCCACUAGAGAAAUUAGAAUGGGGAGAUAGAAAUUGAAUCUCUUUUCUGUGAUUUAAUUAUAAGUCUUACAAAAAGGAUCCCGACUGCACGAAUCCUUCUCGGUAAUUUCAAAUUCGUUCUUGAUUUGAUUUCAGGUAUAUCAUUAGUUUCAGUUUAAAUUGUAAUGAUAUUGUAUUACUAAAUGUUUUAUUUUGUAUGUUUCUUUUUAAAUUUAUUCUGCAAUAGUGAUAAGAAUUGUUAUCACUUUAGUUUAUGCAUUCCUAUAUACAAUUUGGACUAUCACUUUGGUAGGUUCUAAAUGUAAUCUAUUAUUUGGUUCAUUCUGCAUAAACUUGAAGAGAUAUAGUCAUAAAUUAUCUUUGAAAAUUAUUUACCUUUAGAUGUUAAUAUUUAUUUUACUUGAUAAAAAUUAAAAACACGUCUUAGUAGAUUCGCUCUCUAUGAAGUGCUGCAUUUCUAAGUAAUUUUCUUCCUCCUUGACUGUCUUCCCAGCCUAAUCAACAUGCAAUUAGGAUUUUUCUUAAAGAAGUGUUUUUCCUUCUACAUACCUUGUAGGAAUGUUCGAUUUUCUGACACUAGGCUAGAAUCCAUUUCAUUGUUUGGAAAACUUUUGUAUAUGAAGAUUUGAUAAUGUGUGUUUGCAAUUUUGGGUUAAAUUGAUAUAUGUAGUGCUGUUUCAUUUCAAUGAUGCUUGCAAGUGUUUUUGGUUUAUUAUUUUUAUUUUGGUGUAGAAAAUGGACAAGGGACCGUGCUCGAAGAUACAUUCAUUGCAGCUGAGAAAAGAGUUUCUCUAUGUAACGUUGAUAUACAACUUAUGUCAAUUUUUUGUAUGUUUACUUAUUAAUGUUUUGCAAUAGUGAAAUUGUAAUACAAUUUUGUGAAGCUAUUAUUUGUUAACACUUAACAUAAAAUAAUUUUUUAAGUAUAUUAAUAUGGGUCAGACAAGUAUUAAGUUUCAAGAAUAUUAGUGGUUGAUCCUUUGGAAAGUUAUUCUAUAAAAGAAUAUUUCAAAUUAAGUUUUGGUACAAGUGACAAAAUGGAAUUUGAAGAACUGCUCUCUAUUCCUAGAAAAGUGGCCCAUCAUUCAAGGAAUAACUUGAUAUUGAUGAAAGGGAAAACUAGGAUAAUAUCCUUCUUUCCUGUAUGAUUGUUGAAAUAUUUUUGCGCAUAUAUCUCAUUUUGGGAACAAAAAAUCUAUGCUUUAAAACUUUCACUAGACCCCGUUGAUUACCUGUAGUUACUUAUGCAAAUAUUUGUUAACACUAUUGUAAUGCAGACAUUCAUACGUUUGUAACUUGAUAUUCAAGUAGGUAGUGUGAUUCUCUUUCAACCUAACCUUUGAACAAGUGCAAUUUUUUAUGUUGGGAUCCCGUUUAUCAACUUGAUUGAGAAGGAAAAAGAAGAUUUCAGGUAGGUGUUUUGAAUAUUUGUGAACUUCUUUUCUUACAAUUGAUUUGAAUGUUUUUUUGGUAUUUUUAAUUUCUUUUUUAGUUUCUUAGAUUGUUUAGCUAUUUCAAUCCUACCGGGUCUAGGUCAUUCAUUGGGUUUCUUCCAAUUGGGUUUGACAUUCUUGAAUGUGUUCGACUUAUAAAUUUACACGUAAUUUGUAUUUAUCUUUUCUUUGUACGCAUAUUUUAGGUAUUAAAUUUUAUUUUCUUUUGCCUUAUUCUAUGUUGGAUAUGAAAUACUUUGACAUAUUUGUAGUUAAUAAUUUUUUGUGAUCUUUUAAUUUUGUAUGAUUUCGAUUUUUAGUGAUAAUUUAUUCUGUUUUGUUUCUAUAUUUGUCCUUAUUUUGAAUUCUUUGUGUUUUGGAGUUUCAAUUCUUCAUAUUCCUUUUUUAUUUUUUCAUAAAGUUGUUUUCACCUUCUAGAUUCACGAGUAUGUAAACGGCUUCAUUUAGUUAUACUAAUUACCAUCAAGAUAAUGAUCUUGUUCUUCGUUUCUAGUGUGAUGUUUAAAAUUGUUCUAACAUGUUAUAAAUUUUUUUCUUGAUUGUUAUGCAUCCUUCAUUAGAUGCAUAUAGUCCUUGACUCCUCAUUUUUCUAUUGUUGCAAUGUUGACCUUAAAAUGUGUUCAUUGAUUCAACUAAGGUGGUUAAGGUGAAUAUCAUUUGUUCUUGAUGCUUGAAACAUCAGGUGAUAGCUCUGAGAUUGUCGUUGGCCUUGUUGGUCACCUGCAUCUCAAAAACGUUUUCACAUCAUUUUAAAGAUAUUGUAGUUUUCUCAUUUUGUUUAAAAUUUUACGGCUGGCGUUUCUUGUUUUCUCUUAACUUGAUUGAUUAACACAAUUUGAACUGUAAAAUGUGAUCAAGAAUGAUAUUCUCAAAAAAUUUCGAGACACAAUCAAUCUAUGUCGAAAGAAAAAAAUUAUUGGUAACUUGUUUAACAAAAUAGAUUUAUCGUUCAAGUUGGUUCUUUGUGUGCCUUCACCGAUGCUAGAUAUGCCUGCAAUAGUGACAAUAUAUAGUAACAAGUGCAAUCCUCUACUUGAGCUUGGAAUGGGCUUUACAAUACUGUUUGAUGGAAUUCACAAUGCAAGUGUAUCCUUGAAAAGAAUAAUGAAAUGUUCUACUUCGUUUUGUAUUUUCUUUUUAUUUACGUUCAACAGCUUGUUUCAUUUUGGAAAAUGGUUAGUGUGUCAAGAUUGCUUAUUAAACUUUGUUUUAAUAGUCACUGUUUUGUGUCCUUCAUAAUGUGGUAUGCAAAUAUAUGUGUGGCAGGCUUUGGGACCUUGUGACAUGGUAUAUUUAAUUGUUUUCUUCCAUAUUGUGAUAUUCUACUAGUUUGUUUCAUAUUGUGAGCUUAAAUAUUGUCUAUUCAGAUCAAUAGAUUUUUAUUCAAAUUAUUUAUAUUAUUUAUUUUAUUUUUUUUAUAAUUGAUGCUUGAAUUGCAUGUUAGAAUCGAUUUUCGUUAAUUGGUCAUUAUGCUUAUUGAGAGCAUGUAUAUUUAAUUAUGAGUUUUUAUUUGGUUUCUUGCUGUUUUGAGGCUCUAAUUUUAUAAAAUUUGAACUUUCUACUUUUCCUUUAUUUUUCAGGAUUUGUUGCAGUUUUAAGCUUCAAAGAUAGACUUUGAUGCGAAGGAUGCCAUUAAUGGAAGAAGCAUUACUUGGUGAUUUGGGUUUUAUAUUUUGGCUUGGGAUGUACGUCAAAUUGCAAUGGAUCAUAUGUUUAUAGAUGUGGUGCACAUGCAUUGGGGUUGAACAUCUUUCGGGAGUCUUUAAGCAUAUGCUGAAGGGGUGUUUCUUACUCCAUGUUACCUCUCCUUUCUUUAGUUAUUACAAGUCACCUUUUCGUUUCAUGUUCAGUUUAUUUAGGUUAGACUGUAAUAUAUACCAUCAUAGCAUUAUGGUUGUAGCCUAGAUGAAUGAUGCAAACAAUUAUGAUUUUAGUUGGAAUGAGUGUAUGAAAUAUAAAAUAGUAGAAAAAAUAGGGAUCUGAGAUAUGAUCUAUAGACGAAAGAGAACAAUUAAUAAGCUGUCAUCGAGUGCAUAGGGAUUUUUCUUGCUAACCAUACUUGGUUUAUAAGCUUAAUGGCUUUGGAUGCAUACCAUGUCUUUUCCAUAUUUCUCAUUUGUAAGGAACAAAAUGCCAUUUUAGUAAUGCAUAAUGUCCUGGGGUUGAACAUAGUUCAUAAUUCCUUUCAUUGAUGUGCCACAAAUUUGAAAUUAUUUUGCGUUUCAAUUUUACUUAUCAUUUGUGAGCCAUUACAAAGUUUUAGUGUUCUUUUUUAUGGUUGAUGUUGAUUUUCUUAUCGCGGACGCGCUAGAUAUCAAAUUCCAAGCAUGGACCAUGCACCCAUAAGAUCACAUUCUGCACAUAUAGAUCUCAGUGUGAAAUUCCAUAGUCAUUAUAGCAGGUAAUCAUGUCUAACCUUGAAUAUGUUACAUAGAUCUGUAUAUAAAUAUGCACAUAUUAGAUGUAAAUUAUUAUUGUUAUCAUCAUCAUCAUUAUUUGUUUCCUCUCAUUUGUUUUCGCUUGUUCAUGAUGUAUAAUAUAUAGGUGAUUUUGUUUCCUUCUUUUUAAGGUUUAUAUUGUUAUAUCAUUCAUGUUAAUUGUGUUUUCUAUUGAUUUGGGGACUAUACCAAUCAUUUGCUUCUUGUUACUUCUUCGAUCGUAGAUGCAAGUGGUCAAGUAAACCAUGAGGAAAUCUCUAUAUCAAUUUGUGCUAAAUUACUCACAUGUAACCUGGCCAUCUCGGUGAAGUUUGAAAAUCAUGACCUCUAAAUUACAUUAUAAAGAUAUUAAGAUUAAGAUCUUGGUCCUGGCAUUAUUGUUGUUUUCUACUUUUUCCAAUAUAAGCAUAUCUUAGGGGGAGAUUUGCAUAUUAGGAGCAUUAUGAUUUCUAUUUUCUUCCACUCUCCAAUAUAUACAACUCAAUAGCAACAAAAUCAAUUGAAUACUUAUUUCAUACCGAUUGAAAAGGGCUUAACUUUUUACUUAAAAAUAUGAAUUAUUUUUACAUUCUUUAGUUUUUUUUUUCUUGAAUCCUUAACAAAUUGUCUGUAGGCAAGAUGAUUUUAUAGAAGUCCAUCAAAAAGAGGUGCUUUCAAAACUAAGGGAAUUGAAUCAAAAAGUGAUUUUGUUCUUGCUCCUUUUUUUAUUUAUUUUAGCUAUCAAUGUAGAGGCAAACAACCAAAAUGGGAGCUAAACUUUUAGCGUUCAAAUUUAUGUUGUUUUAUUGACAAAUAAUGUCAAGAAAUGAGCUCUAAGUUUUCCUCGAGCCUCCAUAUAUAUAAGUUUUCAAUCAUUACUAUAUUCUUGGUGAAGAAUACAGUUAGAUCAAAUUAGUAUUAGAUACAAAUUAGUAAAUAAAGUUUAUUUGAAAUAUAUUUAGGAAAUGAGAGUCUACUUGCUUUUUAUUUUUUUAAGUAUCACUUUACUCUUUCAUGUAAAAGUUGAUUUAAAACAUACUCAUAUUUAUUCUACACUUUUAAAUACUCAAUUUUGACUCUACCACGUGCAAUUGCAUUGCACCAAUUGCUUAUAUUAUUUGACUGCAUGUUGCAUUCUUGCCUUUUCUAAAAUAAGUGUAUUUUACAAUUAAUUUACAUUUCAUUUUAUGGGAUCUUGGUCAUUUAUUUGAUUGCAUGUUGCAUUCUUGCCUUUUCUUGCUUUGCAAAAUGACAUCUUUUAGAAACAAAUCAAUCGAUAAAUGGCGGAGGAAAACACAACUCGUAACUGGUGUUGCUGCUAUUUGAGGCAAAUUACAUGCCUUUAAUUAGGUUUUACUUAUAAGACUUAAACUUUUCUUGUGCAAUGAAAUGUACAACAAUCAACAACUGACUAUUAACACUUCUUCAUAAUAGCACUGAACAAGCUGGUCGCUUAUAUGAGAGACCCAAGUAAUAUGAAUUUAUUAUCAAGGGGAUGCAUGCGAAUAGAUUGGUUGAUUCGAUAUGUGGAAAUGUAUGUUAAGUUUGAUUUUAUUAACUUAGUUUUAGUGGGGACAAUGCAACUACUUAAUUUGAUAAAAUGUGCGUGUGCCAUCAUUUUUUUCACUAUAUGAUGUAUGAUAAGUGUGUUUUUGCACAAUUAUUUAGGUCACAAACAUGACUUAAUUACGAAUAAAAUGAUUGAAUUGUGAUUUAAUUUCGUUACAUUUGUGAAUUGUAGGU